CUCUCUGUGGGGUGUCAAGUCAGCAAACCAGCUGUGAUCUCCAGUUUGGAGCAGGGGAAGGAGCCAUGGAUGGAGGAGGAAGAGAUAAGGACGUGGAGCUUCCCAGAAGAAGUUUGGCAAGUUGCUACCCAGCCAGAUAGCCAACAGCAACACGAAGACCAACAUUUGAGCCAUACGUUUCUAGACAAGAAAGACUGGACCGGAAAUGAGCUUCAUGAAUGUAACGAACUUGGAAAAAAACUCCAUCAGAACCCAAACCUCCUUCCAUCAAAACAGCAGGUCCGCACACGUGACUUGUGCAGAAAGAGUUUGAUGUGUAACCUGGACUUCACUCCUAACGCCUACCUGGCGAGGAGGAGAUUUCAGUGCGACGGCCACGGAAACUUCUUCUCUGUUCGAAACUUGAAACUCCACCUUCAGGAGCGAAUCCACGCGGAGGUCACCAGUGUGGAAGUGCUUUAAGCUGUGACGAGGGAGUUCCUGCAGCUCAGGGAGCCAGUAGUGAGAAACCCCACGAAUGCACGAAGUGUGGGAAAGCCUUGUGCUGCAGAUCGGACCUCAGGGUACAUCACGGGGUCCACGCGGGGGAGAAGUCCUCUGCGUGCAGUGAACGGGGGAGUGGUUUCAGGGAGAAGCUUUGCCCUGACAAACAGGGAACUCACACAAAGGAGAAACCCGCUAGAGACAGCAGAAGUGGUAAAACGAUCUUCCGGAAGACACGCCUGUGUGUCCCGGGCACAGUUCACGCCGGAGCGAAGCCUUACAAGUGUUGGGAGUGUGAGAAAACCUCCCACAAGUCGCGCCUCAUCGAGCACCUUCGCUCCCACACGGGGGAGAAGCCCUGCGGCUGCAGGGAAUGCGGAAAGGCCUUUUUCCAGAAGUCACACCUCAUCCUGCGUCAGAGGACUCACACGGGGGAGAAGCCCUGCGACUGCGCGGAGUGCGGGAAAGCUGCUCCCAGGACUCCUGCCUCCUGACCCACAGGCGGACUCGCGGGGAAGAAACCGUACGAGUGCUCCGACUGCGGGAAGACCUCCCGGAAGGCGAACCUCAUCCGCCACCACGGGAUCCACACGAGGGAGAAGCUGCAUGGGUGAAGAGACCGUGGGAUCGUCACAAAGUCACAUCACGAGGUCGCCGAACCUCUAGGAGGGACAUCGCCAGGGAAACAGCCCUCAACCAAAACUACGACGCCACCCUAGGCAGAGGUCCCAUAUCGGGGUGAAAUUCGGCCACUUUGGUGGCUUAAGGAAGGCAUGGUCAGCUGGGCGCUGUGGCUCACGCCUGUAAUCCCAGCGCUUUGGGACGCCGAGGCGAGUGGAUCACCUGAGGUCAGGAGUUCAAGACCAGUCUGGCCAACAUGGUGAAAGCUCGGCUCUACUAAAAGUACAAAAAAUUAGCCGGGAAUUGUGGCAGGCGCCUGUAAUUCCAGCUACUCGGGAGGCUGAGGCAGGAGAAUCGGUUGAACCUGGGAGGCGGAGAUUGCAGUGAGUCGAGGUCGCACCACUGCACUCCAGCUUGGGUGACAGAGUGAGACUCAGUCUCAAAAACAAACAACAAAAAAGCAUGGUCUGUUAAAACUAACGACGGAAGGGUAAUGGUAUGCUAGAGUGAUCUAUUUUCGUAGGUGUACUUUUUUUUUUUGAGACGGAGUCCUCGUUCUAUCGCCCAGUCUGGAGGGCAGUGGUGCCAUCUCGGCUCACUGCAGCCUCUGCCUCCCGGGUUCAUGUGAUUCUCUUGUUUCAGCCUCCCGAGUAGCUGGUAUUACAGGUGCCUGCCAGCGUGCCGGGCCAAUUUUUUGUGUUUUUAGUAGAGAUGGAGUUUCACCAUGUUGGUCAGGCUGUUCUCGAACUCCUGACCUCAUGAUCUGCCCACCUCAGCUUCCCAAAGUGCUGGGAUUACAGGCGUGAGCCACUUUAGCCAGGAUAUACUUAAUUAUAAAGACAACUGUGGAUAUGAAGUUUUUUUUUCUUUUGAGAUGAAGUUUUACUCUUGUUGCCCAGGCUAUGGGAAGAAAUGAAAUCAUUACGACUAACAGAUCUAAAAAGCGUGAGAACAUCCCAGAGGGACGCAGGGGUGUGUUCCAAGUGUGCUACAGACAGAUAAUUUUUAUUUUUGUGUUGCACUGGUGAACAGAACAUAAUUGUGAAUCUGUAGACAUACAUACCAUAAUAUAUAGAAGAUCUAUGGAUACUUUCUAUGCUAAAUUAUACCCUUCUGUGUUUGUGAUAUAGAACUGGAAUAAGAUGAAUAUAUUAUUAAAGCAGAGAGGCCCACUGCAGCAGCACAUACCAUUUCUUCUGUUUGUCAUCACGUAUUACAGAGCCCCUGAACUUGGAAGCUAACAAUUUCAUGACAUCUGAUAACUCACAGUCAACUAGUUUAUAAGUUAUAUUUUUGGCUGGGCUCGGUCGCUCACACCUGUAAACCCAACACUUUGGGAGGCUGAGGCAGGCAGAUCACAUGAGGUCAGGAGUUUGAGACCAGCCUGGCCAACACGGUGAAACCCCGUCACUGAAAAAUAUAAAAAUUAGCUGAGCAUGCUGGUGAUUUUCUGUAAUCCCAGUAAUCCCAGCUACUUGGGAGGCUCAGGCACGAGAAUUGCUUGAGCCCAGCAGGCAGAGGUUGCAGUGAGCUGAGAUUGUGCCACUUCAUUCCAGCCUGGGCGACAGAGCAAGACUCUGUCUCAAAACAAGUUAUAUUUCUAUAUUAGGACUCCAUUUUCUGGCAAUACGGUGGACCGUCUAAAGUGAAAAUCACCGGGGCAGUGGCUCGUGCCUGUGAUCUCAGCACUUGGGAAAGUCAAGGUGGACAGGUCACUUGACCCCAGGAGUUCAAGACCAGCCUGGGCAACACGGUGAGACCCUGUCU
This 2871-nucleotide long non-coding RNA is filed under the name Homo sapiens (human). Its description in RNAcentral is "non-protein coding lnc-OCM-3:16". Lineage: Eukaryota; Metazoa; Chordata; Mammalia; Primates; Hominidae. The record is from RNAcentral.